RNAcentral lists this transfer RNA (75 nucleotides) under Bordetella bronchiseptica. RNAcentral's name for it is "tRNA-Met". It matches the Rfam family "tRNA". Rfam says of the family: Transfer RNA (tRNA) molecules are approximately 80 nucleotides in length. Their secondary structure includes four short double-helical elements and three loops (D, anti-codon, and T loops). Further hydrogen bonds mediate the characteristic L-shaped molecular structure. tRNAs have two regions of fundamental functional importance: the anti-codon, which is responsible for specific mRNA codon recognition, and the 3' end, to which the tRNAs corresponding amino acid is attached (by aminoacyl-tRNA synthetases). tRNAs cope with the degeneracy of the genetic code in two manners: having more than one tRNA (with a specific anti-codon) for a particular amino acid; and 'wobble' base-pairing, i.e. permitting non-standard base-pairing at the 3rd anti-codon position. The record is from RNAcentral. RNAcentral also lists the same sequence under 4 other names. Lineage: Bacteria; Pseudomonadati; Pseudomonadota; Betaproteobacteria; Burkholderiales; Alcaligenaceae.
CGCGGCGUAGCGCAGCGAAAGCGCGCCGGGUUCAUAUCCUGGAGGUCGCGGGCGCGAACCCUGCCGCCGCAACCA